AGAGUUUGAUCAUGGCUCAGAACGAACGCUGGCGGCGUGGAUAAGACAUGCAAGUCGAGCGGGAUACAGGCUGUAGCAAUAUGGCUUGUGUUCAGCGGCGCAAGGGUGCGUAACACGUGGGCAAUUUGCCAUGAAGUUUGGGAUAAUCCCGCGAAAGCGGGACUAAUACCGGAUGUGAAGAUUGGGUGGCAUCAUCUGAUCUUUAAAGUUGGGGACCGCAAGGCCUGACGCUUCAUGAUAAGCCCGCGGCCUAUCAGCUAGUUGGUAAGGUAACGGCUUACCAAGGCUAAGACGGGUAGCUGGUCUGAGAGGACGACCAGCCACACUGGAACUGAGACACGGUCCAGACACCUACGGGUGGCAGCAGUCGAGAAUUUUUCACAAUGGGCGAAAGCCUGAUGGAGCGACGCCGCGUGGGGGAUGAAUGGCUUCGGCCCGUAAACCCCUGUCAUUUGCGAACAAACCUUACGUUUGAAUAGGGCGUGAGUUGAUUGUAGCGGAAGAGGAAGGGACGGCUAACUCUGUGCUAGCCGCCGCGGUAAUUC
Molecule: ribosomal RNA, 545 nt
Filed under: uncultured bacterium
Lineage: Bacteria
Description: bacterial SSU rRNA
Rfam family: Bacterial small subunit ribosomal RNA
Source: RNAcentral